This 934-nucleotide long non-coding RNA is filed under the name Mytilus galloprovincialis (Mediterranean mussel). The record is from RNAcentral. Lineage: Eukaryota; Metazoa; Mollusca; Bivalvia; Mytilida; Mytilidae.
ACGUUAAAUCCGAUGCCUCGUGUAAAGAGAGUGCCACGCUCUUUGCACGUUAAGAACCCUUGCAACAACUCUGUUGAGGGGUCCGUAGGUGGCCUGUUGCAAGGCAAAAUUUCUGUCCCUAUCCAAUAUACCCUCAUUUUCCAGUGGCAGUCCAAAUUUCCCCGACCAUCAUCCUAGAUGGCCUCUAUUACAACAACCUACCUAUUGUUUUUAUUGUGAACUUGUUCUCGUCUUGAAUAUGCAUGAAAUAUUUGCCACUGGACGUUAAGCAACCAACAAUCAAUCAAUCAAUCAUAAAUAAAUAAUCAUCAGGUUUUGUGCUGAAACUGCUCAAACACCUUCCUAAUAAAAUGUCUCAUUUUUCUGUAAAAAGAUUGACUUUUUUUCUUAUUUACUAAUGGGUAACAUGAGUAGUAUAGUACUUGAGCGAGUUUAGCGCACCCCCCCCCCAAAAAAAACCCACAUUUCAAGUAAAAAAGCCCUAAAUUUUAAUAAAAAAAGCAAAAAACACUCAAAUAAAACACUAAAAUUUCUUACUCCCAAAAAAAUUUUUUAUCCCGAAAAAAAAACACCUUAAAAAUCCUCCCCAAAAAAAACCAAAAAAAUUCCCCCCCAAAAAAAAAAAAAAAAGCCGGGAGAACUGGCAGAGAAAGAAUUAUGUGGAUUUUAAGAGAAAACAACCUACAGCUCCUGAUUUAUAUCCAGAAUUACCUGUAGAAGAUGGACAAAAUUAUAGACUACAAAAAAUAACAGAAAUAAAAAAAACAUUAAUUAAAAACCAAUUGUUCAGAGAACAAUUGAAGGUCUUUCCAUCAAAACAAUGUAUUUUGAUAUGAAAGUUGUGAAACUAAGUUUAAAAUGUCAUUUCAAUCGUCAAAUGAUAGCUUCUAGUACGCUGAUUCCAAAAAUAUUUGGUUUCCAAACAUUUUUUUUU